UAAAGGAGGUGAUGCUGACUUAGCAGUGUUUAUGGUGGUGGCUGAGCUUCUCAGAAAGGAGUGAUGCUUUAUGUUCAUCCUAGGAAAGGAAUAUCCGCCAUGACUGUGUAUCAGGCGUUGACAUUGGCAAUUGCCUUUGCCACCUUGAUCAUCACCAUUGAUCGACA
This 167-nucleotide small RNA is filed under the name Enterococcus pallens ATCC BAA-351. RNAcentral describes it as "Listeria sRNA rli28". The stretch from base 25 to 167 matches the Rfam family "Listeria sRNA rli28", at positions 31 to 186 of the family's 186-position model. Lineage: Bacteria; Bacillati; Bacillota; Bacilli; Lactobacillales; Enterococcaceae. The record is from Rfam by way of RNAcentral.